Long non-coding RNA from Lactuca sativa (garden lettuce), 435 nucleotides. RefSeq lists it as uncharacterized. The record is from RefSeq and is a predicted model, not a curated record. Lineage: Eukaryota; Viridiplantae; Streptophyta; Magnoliopsida; Asterales; Asteraceae.
CUCCCCAUAUCUCUCUCACACUCUCAUUCUCCAACACACACACAUCUCUCUUCUUUCUCUCUCUAGAAAACUCUCUCUACCUUAUCUCUACUUUUUCUCUCCAAACACCACUCCAUUCUCUCUUCCUCCCUCUAAGAACCAAUAAAUUUUCCAGAAAACAAACCCAAGAACACUCCUCAAACUCGAAAUCUUCAUCAUCUUGUGGUAUCCUUGAAGGAAUUGAUAGUGGUACAAGUGGAACUUAGCUCAAGGCACCAUUUGCAUCAUCUCAAUGCAUAUUGAAUCAUCGAGUAAGUGACACUUAGGGACACUUCACUUUUAGGAGCAUUCGCAUGUGUUGUAUUUCAAUUUACAUUGUAAUUUCUUUUAAAAGUUGUUCAAACCCAUUGUAAAAUUGUAAUGAUUUUUAAUACUAUGGUUGAUGUUGUCUUUUAA